CCUACGGGUGGCAGCAGUGAGGAAUAUUGGUCAAUGGACGAGAGUCUGAACCAGCCAAGUAGCGUGAAGGAUGAAUGCCCUAUGGGUUGUAAACUUCUUUUAUCUGGGAAUAAAAUGUGCCACGUGUGGGAUGUUGUAGGUACCAUAUGAAUAAGGAUCGGCUAACUCCGUGCCAGCAGCCGCGGUAAUACGGAGGAUCCGAGCGUUAUCCGGAUUUAUUGGGUUUAAAGGGAGCGUAGGUGGCUUGUUAAGUAAGUGGUGAAAGUUUGCGGCUCAACCGUAAAAUUGCAGUUGAAACUGGCAGUCUGGAGUACAGUAGAGGUGGGCGGAAUGCGUGGUGUAGCGGUGAAAUGCUUAGAUAUCGCGCAGAACUCCGAUUGCGAAGGCAGUUCACUGGACUGCAACUGACACUGAGGCUCGAAAGUGUGGGUAUCAAACAGGAUUAGAUACCCUGGUAGUC
RNAcentral lists this ribosomal RNA (460 nucleotides) under uncultured bacterium. Its description in RNAcentral is "partial 16S ribosomal RNA". It matches the Rfam family "Bacterial small subunit ribosomal RNA", at positions 338 to 795 of the family's 1533-position model. The record is from RNAcentral.